This 276-nucleotide ribosomal RNA is filed under the name uncultured bacterium. Its description in RNAcentral is "partial 16S ribosomal RNA". It matches the Rfam family "Bacterial small subunit ribosomal RNA", at positions 82 to 354 of the family's 1533-position model. The record is from RNAcentral.
CCGUUGCCGGCGACCGGCGCACGGGUGAGUAACACGUAUGCAACCUGCCCGUGGCAGGGGGAUAAGCGGGGGAAACCCCGUCUAAUACCGCGUAACGCGGCCUUGGGGCAUCCCAAGGCCGCCAAAGGGAGCAAUCCCGGCCACGGAUGGGCAUGCGGCGCAUUAGCUAGUCGGCGGGGUAACGGCCCACCGAGGCGACGAUGCGUAGGGGUUCUGAGAGGAAGGCCCCCCACACUGGUACUGAGACGCGGACCAGACUCCUACGGAAGGCAGCAG